RNAcentral lists this ribosomal RNA (456 nucleotides) under Vespericola sp. 1 MG-2018. RNAcentral's name for it is "partial large subunit ribosomal RNA". It matches the Rfam family "Archaeal large subunit ribosomal RNA", at positions 1888 to 2672 of the family's 2987-position model. Lineage: Eukaryota; Metazoa; Mollusca; Gastropoda; Stylommatophora; Polygyridae. The record is from RNAcentral.
UCGCCUGUUUAUCAAAAACAUAACUAUAUGUGCUUAUAUAUAGCAAUUUCUGCUCAAUGAGUGUUUAAAUAGCCGCAGUACUUUGACUGUGCAAAGGUAGCAUAAUCAAUUGGCUUAUAAUUAAAGUCUGGCAUGAAUGAAUAUAUGGGGGAAAACUGUUUCCUAGGGAUAUAGUAGAAUUUAUUUAAAAAGUGCAAAUACUUUUAUAUAUACAUUAGACGAGAAGACCCUAGAAAUUUUUGUAAAAGUAAAUUUUCUUAUGUAUAUUUUGUUGGGGCGACAAAGUAACAUGUAACUUACUGUUAUUUUACUUGUAUAUGGUUUUAAGGAAGAUUAAAUUACUCUAGGGAUAACAGCAUAAUAUUUUAAAGUUUGUGACCUCGAUGUUGGAUUAGGAAAGAUAAGUGUUUAGAAGAAUUUUAUCUUUGCUCUGUUCGAGCAAUUUUCCCUACGCGA